CAAACUUCACUUGGAAACACACAGGAGUUGUUCGAGACGUUUGGAGCGGUUUUUUUCUCUCCUCCAUGUCUCCUCCGGGGCUCCAAAGAUGCGCUCACAGAGAAGAAGAAGACAACAAAGCAGUCGCCGUCUUCACAACUCAGAGACAAACUGUAGCAGGCGCUACGAACCGGAGCAAGGACUAACCUCGCCUCAUAACGAGGCCGUGACCUAUAUUUGCUCGGAGCUGUCUGCAAGUCCAGAUUUACAUGACGCUGAUAAUGACGCCACUGUGUCUGCCUGUAAGACAUAUUACCAGACAGCACACAGGAGCUUCAGCUAGAAACAACCAGAUGUGGCAUCGCGGGCUGAAGCUGUGAAGAGUUCAGCUCGGAGUCGAUCGAUCGAGAAGAA
Perca flavescens (yellow perch) is the source of this 393-nucleotide long non-coding RNA. RefSeq lists it as uncharacterized. The transcript has 4 exons. NCBI's taxonomy places the organism in Eukaryota, Metazoa, Chordata, Actinopteri, Perciformes, Percidae. The record is from RefSeq and is a predicted model, not a curated record.